This 1459-nucleotide long non-coding RNA is filed under the name Taeniopygia guttata (zebra finch). RNAcentral describes it as "lncRNA (ENSTGUG00000019745.1)". The record is from RNAcentral. Lineage: Eukaryota; Metazoa; Chordata; Aves; Passeriformes; Estrildidae.
UUAUUAUUUAUAAUAGGCAAUAAAGAUAUGCUACUUAAACAGGAUUUAUUUAACAUCUAUAUAACAUUCCAUUAUACUUGUGCUUACUCAACAAAUUGCUUUUCUUUCUAUAGGCAAUCUAGAACAUAUCUACAGAAAAAUAUGUACACAUAACUUCCAUAGUAACGAAAAGCCAAGAAAAACAAACCUAAAUCCAUUAAAAUUGACAUUCGCUCUUAAAGAAUAGCAGGAAGUCUGAAAAUGUGGCAUAUUUAAAAUAGGACUCCAUAAACAGAAAAAAAAAAAAUUAAAAAAAAAAUUAAUUUGUUUCUGUCAUUCUCACCAAGCUAAAUUCAGUAAAAUCUUCCUCUGAAGUGAACUGACCAAUUCUAAGAGUAAUUAGUACUUUGUAGAAAUUAACUGUAAAAAUCCCAUUGUAGUAGAACUAUACACACACAAUUUCAGCUUUUAUUUUUACCUGAAAUGUUAUACCAUUGUCAAACCUGGCUACUUCUCUCAAAACUGCUUUUAAAAACAACAGAAUAUCAAAUGCAUUAUUAGGCUUGUGCAGAUCUCUUUCUUUCUGAGUUAAAACAAUUUGCAUUUAUGUAAACAAAAUUCAGUUCUUAGUAAAAAGAUACUUUUAAAACAAAACUUCAGUUAAAGAGAGAAUGAAUAAAAGAGUCAAUGUCUGGCCAAGGUGGUCUUGCAGUGAGUUAAUGCCAUUGCAGCUGAGUCUUAAUGGGAACAGCCUCCCUCCAGCAAAGCUGGCUGGGGUAAGCAGGGUGCACAUCAACACCCACCUGGGAGUGCCUGUGCAGAGGACCAGGCUGGAGAAUGCCUGUCCCACUACACCACCACCCCAAGGGCAAAAGUGAUGCACACAUCUCUUAAAUACAGGAUAUAAUUUAAAAAAAUUAGACACUUUUUUAUAAGUAGUGAAGCACCAUAACCAAAAUGCACAAAUAGUUUAAGACUCCAGGUCCGUCUGAGGCUGCAAAGAUGAUUAAGGGACUGGAGCAUCUUUCUUAAAGCUCUUAACAGAGUUGGGCCUGUUCAGCCUCCAGAACAGACAGCUGACAGGGGACCUCACCAAUGUCUGUCAGUCUCUGAAGGGAGGGUGUCAUGAGGAUGAAACCAGGCUCUUCUCAGUGGUGCCAAGCAAUAGGACAAGAGGCAAUGAGCAGAAACUGAUGCACAGGAAGUUCCACCUGAACAUGAGGAAGAACUUCUUUGCUGUGUGAGUGACCGUGCACUGGAACACAUUGUCCAGAGAGGUUUUGGAACUUCCCUCACUGUUGGUGAGCAGGGAGGUUGGACCAGAUAACCCACUGUGGUCCUGUGCCUUCCAGCCUUACCAAUUCUGGGAUUCCGUGAUUCUAGGAGAAAAUCAACAAAGAACUGUACAGCACAGAAAUCUCAGGAUUGAAGUUAAAGUAAAAUGUUUUAAAAAUAUAUAGGAAUGUAGAUAAACAUAUUU